This 97-nucleotide small RNA is filed under the name Pseudomonas sp. M47T1. RNAcentral's name for it is "t44 RNA". It matches the Rfam family "t44 RNA". From Rfam's summary of the family: This family consists of a number of bacterial RNA genes of between 135 and 170 bases in length. The record is from Rfam by way of RNAcentral. Lineage: Bacteria; Pseudomonadati; Pseudomonadota; Gammaproteobacteria; Pseudomonadales; Pseudomonadaceae.
GCCCCGAAAGCACAAACCCACACACGUGCCGGCACGAUGACCUGGGUGCCCGCAGCUCAAGCUGCUGGUUGGUCAUUGGGGUACGUGGAGGCCUAAC